This 393-nucleotide ribosomal RNA is filed under the name uncultured bacterium. RNAcentral's name for it is "bacterial SSU rRNA". It matches the Rfam family "Bacterial small subunit ribosomal RNA", at positions 28 to 420 of the family's 1533-position model. The record is from RNAcentral.
GACGAACGCUGGCGGCGUGCUUAACACAUGCAAGUCGAGCGGUAAGGCCCUUUCGGGGGUACGACGAGCGGCGAACGGGUGAGUAACACGUGGGUGACCUGCCCUCAGCUCUGGGAUAAGCCUGGGAAACCGGGUCUAAUACCGGAUAUGACUCCAUGACGCAUGUUGUGGGGUGGAAAGCCUUGUGCGGCUGAGGAUGGGCCCGCGGCCUAUCAGCUUGUUGGUGGGGUGAUGGCCUACCAAGGCGACGACGGGUAGCCGGCCUGAGAGGGCGACCGGCCACACUGGGACUUGAGACACGGCCCAGACUCCUACGGGAGGCAGCAGUGGGGAAUCUUGCGCAAUGGGCGAAAGCCUGACGCAGCGACGCCGCGUGAGGGAUGACGGCCUCGG